RNAcentral lists this ribosomal RNA (467 nucleotides) under uncultured bacterium. RNAcentral describes it as "partial 16S ribosomal RNA". It matches the Rfam family "Bacterial small subunit ribosomal RNA", at positions 28 to 507 of the family's 1533-position model. The record is from RNAcentral.
GACGAACGCUGGCGGCGUGCUUAACACAUGCAAGUCGAACGGAAAGGCUCCAGCUUGCUGGAGUACUCGAGUGGCGAACGGGUGAGUAACACGUGGGUAAUCUGCCCUGCACUCUGGGUUAAGCCUGGGAAACUGGGUCUAAUACUGGAUAUGACCUUUCUCCUUAUGGGGUUUGGUGGAAAGUUUUUCGGUGUAGGAUGAGCCCGCGGCCUAUCAGCUUGUUGGUGGGGUGAUGGCCUACCAAGGCGACGACGGGUAGCCGGCCUGAGAGGGUGAUCGGCCACAUUGGGACUGAGAUACGGCCCAGACUCCUACGGGAGGCAGCAGUGGGGAAUAUUGCACAAUGGGCGGAAGCCUGAUGCAGCGACGCCGCGUGAGGGAUGACGGCCUUCGGGUUGUAAACCUCUUUCAGCAGGGACGAAGCGUAAGUGACGGUACCUGCAGAAGAAGCACCGGCUAACUAUGUG